RNAcentral lists this ribosomal RNA (369 nucleotides) under uncultured bacterium. RNAcentral describes it as "bacterial SSU rRNA". It matches the Rfam family "Bacterial small subunit ribosomal RNA", at positions 525 to 896 of the family's 1533-position model. The record is from RNAcentral.
ACGUAGGGGGCGAGCGUUGUUCGGAAUUACUGGGCGUAAAGGGCAUGUAGGCGGCUUUGUAAGCCCGGCGUGGAAGCCCACGGCUCAACCGUGGGAUUGCGUUGGGAACUGCGAGGCUUGAAUCAUGGAGAGGGAGCUAGAAUUCCUGGUGUAGGGGUGAAAUCUGUAGAGAUCAGGAAGAAUACCAGUGGCGAAGGCGAGCUCCUGGCCAAUGAUUGACGCUGAGGUGCGAAAGUGUGGGGAUCAAACAGGAUUAGAUACCCUGGUAGUCCACACUGUAAACGAUGUGCACUAGGUGCUGGGGCGGAUGCUUCAGUGCCGGAGCUAACGCGGUAAGUGCACCGCCUGGGGAGUAUGCUCGCAAGGGUG